UUGGAGCCAUCAAACACUGGUGGUGUUGUCUUCUUUAUGGUUCAGACUGCGAGAGUGGAGAGGAGGAUAAAUGAGACAGAUAACUACAACAAAUUGGUGUAUGUAUAGGAAGCUUAAAUUUUUAUUUUGUAGCAUUAAGUUUUCUGUAGCAUUAAGUUUUUAUUUUGUAUGCAUUGGUGUAUAUGAUUUUAUCAUAAGGAUAAAUGUUUUCUGUAGCUAUCUUUCCAUUGUUUAUUUUAGUUUUGAUUCUAAAAUUUUU
Molecule: long non-coding RNA, 259 nt
Filed under: Gossypium barbadense (sea-island cotton)
Lineage: Eukaryota; Viridiplantae; Streptophyta; Magnoliopsida; Malvales; Malvaceae
Description: long non-coding RNA (GBAR_LNC022564)
Source: RNAcentral